CUGGACUAGAAUGUGAGGGAAUGUCGGGUAACGCCGACAGUCCGGGAAACCGGACCCAAAACAAGGUGCUGCAUGGCUGUCGUCAGCUCGUGUCGUGAGAUGUUGGGUUAAGUCCCGCAACGAGCGCAACCCUUAUCAACAGUUGCCAUCAUUAAGUUGGGAACUCUGUUGAGACUGCCGUUGAUAAAACGGAGGAAGGCGGGGAUGAUGUCAAGUCAUCAUGGCCUUUAUGUUCAGGGCUACACACGUGCUACAAUGGCCGGUACAAAACGUCGCAAUCCCGCAAGGGGGAGCUAAUCGCGAAAACCGGUCUCAGUUCGGAUUGAAGUUUGCAACUCGACUUCAUGAAGUUGGAAUCGCUAGUAAUCGCAGAUCAGAACGCUGCGGUGAAUACGUUCCC
RNAcentral lists this ribosomal RNA (400 nucleotides) under uncultured bacterium. RNAcentral's name for it is "bacterial SSU rRNA". It matches the Rfam family "Bacterial small subunit ribosomal RNA", at positions 975 to 1375 of the family's 1533-position model. The record is from RNAcentral.